ACAUACAUGCAGUCGAGCGGACAGAUGGGAGCUUGCUCCCUGAUGUUAGCGGCGGACGGGUGAGUAACACGUGGGUAACCUGCCUGUAAGACUGGGAUAACUCCGGGAAACCGGGGCUAAUACCGGAUGGUUGUUUGAACCGCAUGGUUCAAACAUAAAAGGUGGCUUCGGCUACCACUUACAGAUGGACCCGCGGCGCAUUAGCUAGUUGGUGAGGUAACGGCUCACCAAGGCAACGAUGCGUAGCCGACCUGAGAGGGUGAUCGGCCACACUGGGACUGAGACACGGCCCAGACUCCUACGGGAGGCAGCAGUAGGGAAUCUUCCGCAAUGGACGAAAGUCUGACGGAGCAACGCCGCGUGAGUGAUGAAGGUUUUCGGAUCGUAAAGCUCUGUUGUUAGGGAAGAACAAGUACCGUUCGAAUAGGGCGGUACCUUGACGGUACCUAACCAGAAAGCCACGGCUAACUACGUGCCAGCAGCCGCGGUAAUACGUAGGUGGCAAGCGUUGUCCGGAAUUAUUGGGCGUAAAGGGCUCGCAGGCGGUUUCUUAAGUCUGAUGUGAAAGCCCCCGGCUCAACCGGGGAGGGUCAUUGGAAACUGGGGAACUUGAGUGCAGAAGAGGAGAGUGGAAUUCCACGUGUAGCGGUGAAAUGCGUAGAGAUGUGGAGGAACACCAGUGGCGAAGGCGACUCUCUGGUCUGUAACUGACGCUGAGGAGCGAAAGCGUGGGGAGCGAACAGGAUUAGAUACCCUGGUAGUCCACGCCGUAAACGAUGAGUGCUAAGUGUUAGGGGGUUUCCGCCCCUUAGUGCUGCAGCUAACGCAUUAAGCACUCCGCCUGGGGAGUACGGUCGCAAGACUGAAACUCAAAGGAAUUGACGGGGGCCCGCACAAGCGGUGGAGCAUGUGGUUUAAUUCGAAGCAACGCGAAGAACCUUACCAGGUCUUGACAUCCUCUGACAAUCCUAGAGAUAGGACGUCCCCUUCGGGGGCAGAGUGACAGGUGGUGCAUGGUUGUCGUCAGCUCGUGUCGUGAGAUGUUGGGUUAAGUCCCGCAACGAGCGCAACCCUUGAUCUUAGUUGCCAGCAUUCAGUUGGGCACUCUAAGGUGACUGCCGGUGACAAACCGGAGGAAGGUGGGGAUGACGUCAAAUCAUCAUGCCCCUUAUGACCUGGGCUACACACGUGCUACAAUGGACAGAACAAAGGGCAGCGAAACCGCGAGGUUAAGCCAAUCCCACAAAUCUGUUCUCAGUUCGGAUCGCAGUCUGCAACUCGACUGCGUGAAGCUGGAAUCGCUAGUAAUCGCGGAUCAGCAUGCCGCGGUGAAUAAGUUCCCGGGCCUUGUACACACCGCCCGUCACACCACGAGAGUUUGUAACACCCGAAGUCGGGGUAGGUUUACUUU
Molecule: ribosomal RNA, 1411 nt
Filed under: Bacillus subtilis
Lineage: Bacteria; Bacillati; Bacillota; Bacilli; Caryophanales; Bacillaceae
Description: bacterial SSU rRNA
Rfam family: Bacterial small subunit ribosomal RNA
Source: RNAcentral